UUUCGUAACAAGGUCUCCGUAGGUGAACCUGCGGAGGGAUCAUUACACAAAUAUGAAGGCGGGCUGGAACCUCUCGGGGUUACAGCCUUGCUGAAUUAUUCACCCUUGUCUUUUGCGUACUUCUUGUUUCCUUGGUGGGUUCGCCCACCACUAGGACAAACAUAAACCUUUUGUAAUUGCAAUCAGCGUCAGUAACAAAUUAAUAAUUACAACUUUCAACAACGGAUCUCUUGGUUCUGGCAUCGAUGAAGAACGCAGCGAAAUGCGAUAAGUAGUGUGAAUUGCAGAAUUCAGUGAAUCAUCGAAUCUUUGAACGCACAUUGCGCCCUUUGGUAUUCCAAAGGGCAUGCCUGUUCGAGCGUCAUUUGUACCCUCAAGCUUUGCUUGGUGUUGGGCGUCUUGUCUCUAGCUUUGCUGGAGACUCGCCUUAAAGUAAUUGGCAGCCGGCCUACUGGUUUCGGAGCGCAGCACAAGUCGCACUCUCUAUCAUCAAAGGUCUAGCAUCCAUUAAGCCUUUUUUUUCAACUUUUGACCUCGGAUCAGGUAGGGAUACCCGCUGAACUUAAGCAUAUCAAUAUACAUUUCG
RNAcentral lists this ribosomal RNA (586 nucleotides) under uncultured fungus. RNAcentral describes it as "eukaryotic LSU rRNA". The stretch from base 211 to 364 matches the Rfam family "5.8S ribosomal RNA". Lineage: Eukaryota; Fungi. The record is from RNAcentral.